AGUUCGGACUGUAGGCUGCAACUCGCCUACACGAAGUCGGAAUCGCUAGUAAUCGCGGAUCAGCAUGCCGCGGUGAAUACGUUCCCGGCCUUGUACACACCGCCCGUCACACCAUGGGAGUUUGUAACGCCCAAAGUCGGUGGCCUAACCUUUAUGGAGGGAGCCGCCUAAGGCGGGACAGAUGACUGGGGUGAAGUCGUAACAAGGUACC
This 211-nucleotide ribosomal RNA is filed under the name uncultured bacterium. RNAcentral's name for it is "partial 16S ribosomal RNA". It matches the Rfam family "Bacterial small subunit ribosomal RNA", at positions 1290 to 1500 of the family's 1533-position model. The record is from RNAcentral.